UGUCCCAGGAUAGCUCAGAGAAGUGCUGCUUUCCAAGGGUUUGGCCAGGGCGACUUGAUUUAUUUUCAGCAAAAUCUGGGAUUGGAAUUGAGUGUGGCUUGACGCAACUGCAAAACAGAACAAAUCUGGAAACUCUGGCAGGCAGAAGAGGAGAGUGGAGGGAGCACGUUUCUUUGAGUUUGGGAAGGGAGGCUGAGAGGAGUCUGGGAAACUUCCUGGCACCCAACUCCCUCCAGAACCCCUGAAGGGACUUUCUACAACAGCAGAGGGAUGGCCCUUCUGUCUCUACAGCACUGACCGAGCACUACAGUAUCGAACAGCACUGGGCACAGACUAGGUCCUGGGUAAAUAUUUGGUGUGUUGAUUAAUAAUAUGAGAAUGUUCUGAGGUCAAACACUUCCUUCCAUGUUUUGGGAACAGUGAGGUCUUGCAUAGAGCUUUAAAAACUCCACACCCAGCUUCACAUUAAAGUGGAAAGCCAGCACACUUGUGAUGUUCUGAGCUAUUCUAAAUAGCAGCCCUCCCUGGGUCUCUGAAUUCUUCUGAACCUAGUAGUGCCACUGCCUUGGGCAGUUUUGUGGAAAUGCCUCUUCCCAUUCAGCUUUGCCCAGACCAUUCUAUCCUGAUGUUAUUCCCAUGGCUGGCACUCCAAUGUGUCCUAAACCUGUCCGGUUUCUAGAAAUAUGACAAACAUUACCUCUAUUUAUCCCUUUCUUCUGUUCUUACUGACACUGAGCUUGCAGGAUGGCAGUAUUAAAAUACACCAGCAGACUUCUGGCAGGUGGUUGUAAACAUCUUUUGGAGUUCCUUCCCAGUCUAUGACACCAUUUCUCAAGGAAUCAUCCCCCUCUCCACAAAAGGGAAGGCCAAGUAACCGAGCAUCCACCAUGACUCUUCCACUUUGGCCAUAGAUUGCAUCAGAGUUCUCACUGACCCAAGCUGGACAAUCAAUAUCUUUCUCUUGGGAAUUUGGAAUUGGACUUAAAGAAAUGGAUAACUAGAGAUCAGCGUCUGUGUUUGGCUCAGACAUGAAUUUUGGAGCCAUGGUGGCCAUACGCAGGGAGAAUCAGAACAAGUCAGUGUGUAGAGAAAACCAAAAGGCAAUGCCAAAGAAUGAACCGAGUCAAAAGAGGCAGGGCUACAUCUGCUAUUGACUUCUGAGGAUGACUUUGCAUCUUUACAGUAAGUUCUUGUUUAUUGAUUAGCCAAACUUUGCUGGCUUUGAUGCUUGUAACCAAAAAGACUUUAAAAAGACAUGAAUAAGUUUUGCCAUGGAUUUCUGUAGCCCCAAUCCACUCUGCAUGCCUAACCCUAGUCUCUUUCAGAUGCCACCACUCUAAGUCUGGCAGGGCUCCCAACUGCCUAUGAUGUCAUGACCAUGACCCCUUACUAGCUCUCAGGGCACUCCCCAAACUAUCCUGCCCACUCGUCCAAAAUAAUUAUUCUUUCCUCCUGUGAUGUGCUCCUUUGCUUGAGUCUAAUCAUGCUCUCUCUACUCUAAACACACUUCCCUGGCUCUCUUCCUCCUGUUUCCCUGGACGGCUUCCCAGGCCUGGAAUGGUCUACCCUCUCCUCCCGGCCAUACAAAUACAUGUAGAUUGGACAGUAGAUGUAUUUUCUUGUCUGCAAAUGGAAUGGUUUCUAUCUGAUGUCCUAUGUUAAGGAACAGAAAUUAUCACAGUGGAAAAAAAAAAGCCUAUUGGUGGGGCACAGCACCUCCAGCCACUUGGCUUUGGUGAGCCUGAUACAGUAUCUGGCCCCUGCUAAUAUUUGUAUUUAUGUAAUGAAAGAUUUACCCAAUUAAAAUAGAUCUGAACUACAAAGGAAAUGCUGCACUAAAAUGUGUUCUUGGCUCAUACAAGGAGAAAGAUUCUCCUUCACGGAGGAAGACUUGAAGGGUAUCCAGCCCUAGGGAAGUGAACUAGGUCAUGCCAGUGUUCUCCCAGGCAUAAAGGGUAGGCUCGAUUUUGUGAUAAAUACACAGUAUAUGAUGAUUCACCUGACUUACUUCUCUAUUUGAUAUCAGUAAAUGAUAACAAUGAAAGUGCUUGUGUUGGGGGGAAAGUGCAAUGAAUGCACGGCCGCUUCACCAUCUGAUGAAAGUAUAACCAGGGAGAUGCCUCAGACGCUAAGGGCUCUUGGUGAGGGGCCCAACAGGAAGAGAGAAGUGCUACUUUCAGACAGAACGGGACCGAGCAUUUCAGGAUCCACAGAGCCGUGUCAUAAAAUAUUUCACACGAUAUGUAUGACAAGAAGCCUGAAGAAGCUAUGAAUUUCCAGAUUGAUGUGAAAGAAAUCCACUCUGUACCUUGUGCCACACAAACAUUUAAGUCAAUCAUUAUUGAGCAUCAACUGGGUGUAUUCUAGCCCCGGGUUUUAUCUUUUUUUUUUAACCUUCCUUGUGGUUGCUUUGUCAUAUUCUUUUUCUUUUAUAAGAAGCACUGUUUGGUAAUAGCCACAAGAAUUGUGGGGGUGGGGAGACCAUUUUUACUAAGAGAUAGGGUUGUAUCCUGCAUAGGCAACAUAAGGAAUGGUAGCAAUUUUUUUAAGAGGCUACACAUGUGGAAAGGCCUCCCAUUGCUUUAUCCUCUCCACUGGAUCUCUCCUGUAUUCCUUCUGCCUUCCUGU
Molecule: long non-coding RNA, 2628 nt
Filed under: Homo sapiens (human)
Lineage: Eukaryota; Metazoa; Chordata; Mammalia; Primates; Hominidae
Description: HSALNT0114504
Source: RNAcentral